UCCCCGGUAGCUUAAUUGGUAGAGCAGGUGGCUGUUAACCACCAGGUUCCAGGUUCGAGUCCUGGCAGGGGAG
RNAcentral lists this transfer RNA (73 nucleotides) under Planctomycetaceae bacterium SCGC AG-212-D15. It matches the Rfam family "tRNA". Rfam says of the family: Transfer RNA (tRNA) molecules are approximately 80 nucleotides in length. Lineage: Bacteria; Pseudomonadati; Planctomycetota; Planctomycetia; Planctomycetales; Planctomycetaceae. The record is from Rfam by way of RNAcentral.